AAGUUCAAAUGGAACCCCUUUGAUUUAACUAAAGACUGGCCGCAGGCAGAUUUUCCAUUAAUUCCAAUUGGCCGUAUCCGAAAUGUAAAUCGAUCUUGGACCGCAACCCAAAAGAUUACUUUGCUGAAGUUCAACAAAUUGCCUUUAGUCCAGCUUAUAAUUAACCAGUAACAUCACAUCGGCUAUCCUAUAUUGCAAGGCUACAAUGGAGGAACCAUCCAAAAGAAGAAAGUUAGUAGUUAAGAGGAGACAGUUGAUUAACAGAUUCAACCAAGAGUUUGCUAUGCUCGGUGGACAG
Daphnia magna is the source of this 298-nucleotide long non-coding RNA. RefSeq lists it as uncharacterized. NCBI's taxonomy places the organism in Eukaryota, Metazoa, Arthropoda, Branchiopoda, Diplostraca, Daphniidae. The transcript is spliced from 3 exons. The record is from RefSeq and is a predicted model, not a curated record.